ACCUUAGAGACCAAUUAAGUUUGUUCUUGGUAUAAGCUUUCGUGUGCUUGCGGUAUCUGAAGAAGUGUGCAUGCACACAAAAGCUUAUACCAAGAACAAACUUAGUUGGUCUCUAAGGU
Molecule: non-coding RNA, 119 nt
Organism: Podarcis lilfordi (Lilford's wall lizard)
Lineage: Eukaryota; Metazoa; Chordata; Lepidosauria; Squamata; Lacertidae
Source: the annotation of a GenBank genome assembly